RNAcentral lists this ribosomal RNA (292 nucleotides) under uncultured bacterium. RNAcentral's name for it is "partial 16S ribosomal RNA". It matches the Rfam family "Bacterial small subunit ribosomal RNA", at positions 505 to 796 of the family's 1533-position model. The record is from RNAcentral.
GUGCCAGCAGCCGCGGUAAUACGGAGGGUGCGAGCGUUGUCCGGAAUCACUGGGCGUAAAGGGCGCGUAGGUGGCGCGGUCAGCGUGUGGUGAAAGCUCGGGGCUCAACCCCGAGUCGGCCAUGCGAACUGCCGCGCUCGAGCACUGUAGAGGCAGAUGGAAUUCCGGGUGUAGCGGUGGAAUGCGUAGAGAUCCGGAAGAACACCGGUGGCGAAGGCGGUCUGCUGGGCAGUUGCUGACACUGAGGCGCGACAGCGUGGGGAGCAAACAGGAUUAGAAACCCUCGUAGUCC